UUAAGCGACUAAGCGUACACGGUGGAUGCCCUGGCAGUCAGAGGCGAUGAAGGACGUGCUAAUCUGCGAUAAGCGUCGGUGAGGUGAUAUGAACCGUUAUAACCGGCGAUUUCCGAAUGGGGAAACCCAGUGUGUUUCGACACACUAUCAUUAACUGAAUCCAUAGGUUAAUGAGGCGAACCGGGGGAACUGAAACAUCUAAGUACCCCGAGGAAAAGAAAUCAACCGAGAUUCCCCCAGUAGCGGCGAGCGAACGGGGAGGAGCCCAGAGCCUGAAUCAGUGUGUGUGUUAGUGGAAGCGUCUGGAAAGGCGUGCGAUACAGGGUGACAGCCCCGUACACAAAAAUGCACAUAUUGUGAGCUCGAUGAGUAGGGCGGGACACGUGGUAUCCUGUCUGAAUAUGGGGGGACCAUCCUCCAAGGCUAAAUACUCCUGACUGACCGAUAGUGAACCAGUACCGUGAGGGAAAGGCGAAAAGAACCCCGGCGAGGGGAGUGAAAAAGAACCUGAAACCGUGUACGUACAAGCAGUGGGAGCCUCUUAAUGGGGUGACUGCGUACCUUUUGUAUAAUGGGUCAGCGACUUAUAUUCUGUAGCAAGGUUAACCGAAUAGGGGAGCCGAAGGGAAACCGAGUCUUAACUGGGCGUUAAGUUGCAGGGUAUAGACCCGAAACCCGGUGAUCUAGCUAUGGGCAGGUUGAAGGUUGGGUAACACUAACUGGAGGACCGAACCGACUAAUGUUGAAAAAUUAGCGGAUGACUUGUGGCUGGGGGUGAAAGGCCAAUCAAACCGGGAGAUAGCUGGUUCUCCCCGAAAGCUAUUUAGGUAGCGCCUCGUGAAUUCAUCUCCGGGGGUAGAGCACUGUUUCGGCAAGGGGGUCAUCCCGACUUACCAACCCGAUGCAAACUGCGAAUACCGGAGAAUGUUAUCACGGGAGACACACGGCGGGUGCUAACGUCCGUCGUGAAGAGGGAAACAACCCAGACCGCCAGCUAAGGUCCCAAAGUCAUGGUUAAGUGGGAAACGAUGUGGGAAGGCCCAGACAGCCAGGAUGUUGGCUUAGAAGCAGCCAUCAUUUAAAGAAAGCGUAAUAGCUCACUGGUCGAGUCGGCCUGCGCGGAAGAUGUAACGGGGCUAAACCAUGCACCGAAGCUGCGGCAGCGACACUAUGUGUUGUUGGGUAGGGGAGCGUUCUGUAAGCCUGUGAAGGUGGCCUGUGAGGGUUGCUGGAGGUAUCAGAAGUGCGAAUGCUGACAUAAGUAACGAUAAAGCGGGUGAAAAGCCCGCUCGCCGGAAGACCAAGGGUUCCUGUCCAACGUUAAUCGGGGCAGGGUGAGUCGACCCCUAAGGCGAGGCCGAAAGGCGUAGUCGAUGGGAAACAGGUUAAUAUUCCUGUACUUGGUGUUACUGCGAAGGGGGGACGGAGAAGGCUAUGUUGGCCGGGCGACGGUUGUCCCGGUUUAAGCGUGUAGGCUGGUUUUCCAGGCAAAUCCGGAAAACCAAGGCUGAGGCGUGAUGACGAGGCACUACGGUGCUGAAGCGACAAAUGCCCUGCUUCCAGGAAAAGCCUCUAAGCAUCAGGUAACAUCAAAUCGUACCCCAAACCGACACAGGUGGUCAGGUAGAGAAUACCAAGGCGCUUGAGAGAACUCGGGUGAAGGAACUAGGCAAAAUGGUGCCGUAACUUCGGGAGAAGGCACGCUGAUAUGUAGGUGAAGCGACUUGCUCGUGGAGCUGAAAUCAGUCGAAGAUACCAGCUGGCUGCAACUGUUUAUUAAAAACACAGCACUGUGCAAACACGAAAGUGGACGUAUACGGUGUGACGCCUGCCCGGUGCCGGAAGGUUAAUUGAUGGGGUUAGCGGCAACGCGAAGCUCUUGAUCGAAGCCCCGGUAAACGGCGGCCGUAACUAUAACGGUCCUAAGGUAGCGAAAUUCCUUGUCGGGUAAGUUCCGACCUGCACGAAUGGCGUAAUGAUGGCCAGGCUGUCUCCACCCGAGACUCAGUGAAAUUGAACUCGCUGUGAAGAUGCAGUGUACCCGCGGCAAGACGGAAAGACCCCGUGAACCUUUACUAUAGCUUGACACUGAACAUUGAGCCUUGAUGUGUAGGAUAGGUGGGAGGCUUUGAAGUGUGGACGCCAGUCUGCAUGGAGCCGACCUUGAAAUACCACCCUUUAAUGUUUGAUGUUCUAACGUUGGCCCGUAAUCCGGGUUGCGGACAGUGUCUGGUGGGUAGUUUGACUGGGGCGGUCUCCUCCUAAAGAGUAACGGAGGAGCACGAAGGUUGGCUAAUCCUGGUCGGACAUCAGGAGGUUAGUGCAAUGGCAUAAGCCAGCUUGACUGCGAGCGUGACGGCGCGAGCAGGUGCGAAAGCAGGUCAUAGUGAUCCGGUGGUUCUGAAUGGAAGGGCCAUCGCUCAACGGAUAAAAGGUACUCCGGGGAUAACAGGCUGAUACCGCCCAAGAGUUCAUAUCGACGGCGGUGUUUGGCACCUCGAUGUCGGCUCAUCACAUCCUGGGGCUGAAGUAGGUCCCAAGGGUAUGGCUGUUCGCCAUUUAAAGUGGUACGCGAGCUGGGUUUAGAACGUCGUGAGACAGUUCGGUCCCUAUCUGCCGUGGGCGCUGGAGAACUGAGGGGGGCUGCUCCUAGUACGAGAGGACCGGAGUGGACGCAUCACUGGUGUUCGGGUUGUCAUGCCAAUGGCACUGCCCGGUAGCUAAAUGCGGAAGAGAUAAGUGCUGAAAGCAUCUAAGCACGAAACUUGCCCCGAGAUGAGUUCUCCCUGACUCCUUGAGAGUCCUGAAGGAACGUUGAAGACGACGACGUUGAUAGGCCGGGUGUGUAAGCGCAGCGAUGCGUUGAGCUAACCGGUACUAAUGAACCGUGAGGCUUAACCUU
This 2902-nucleotide ribosomal RNA is filed under the name Escherichia coli HVH 197 (4-4466217). Its description in RNAcentral is "bacterial LSU rRNA". It matches the Rfam family "Bacterial large subunit ribosomal RNA". Lineage: Bacteria; Pseudomonadati; Pseudomonadota; Gammaproteobacteria; Enterobacterales; Enterobacteriaceae. The record is from RNAcentral.